GAUGAACGCUGGCGGCGUGCCUAAUACAUGCAAGUAGAACGCUGACGGAGGACCUUUCUCUUCUUCAUUAGUUGCUAACGGGUGAGUAACGCGUAUGUAACCUGCCUGCUAGCGGGGGAUAACUAUUGCAAACGAUAGUUAAUACUGCAUCACAACAUUUCUUGCAUGAUAACUGUUUCCAUGGGGCAACUUCUCCACUACCAUAUGCACCUGCGUUGUAUUUGCUAGUUGGUGAGGUAACGGCUCACCAAGGCGACGAUACAUAGCCUACCUGAGAGGGUGAUCGGCCAAGAUGGGAAUGAGACACGGCCCAGAAUCCUAGGGGAGGCAGCAGUAGGGAAUCAUCGGAAAUGGAGGGAAGGCUGAACGAGCAAAGGCGCGUGAGUGAAGAAGGUUUUCGGAUCGUAAAGCUCUGUUGUAAGAGAAGAAAGAGUGUGAGAGUGGAAAGUUCACACAGUGACGGUAUCUUAAGAGAAAGGGACGGCUAACUACGUG
This 495-nucleotide ribosomal RNA is filed under the name uncultured bacterium. Its description in RNAcentral is "partial 16S ribosomal RNA". It matches the Rfam family "Bacterial small subunit ribosomal RNA", at positions 28 to 507 of the family's 1533-position model. The record is from RNAcentral.